AAAUUAAUUAUUUUAAAUUUUAAUAAAAAUAAUUUUUAGUUUUAGUAAUUUUUUGAAAAAAUUUAUAUAUUAAUUAUAGAGAAAUAGUAUUGUGAAAGAAUUUUUUUUUACUAAAAAAAAAGAAAUUAUUAUUUAAUGUACCUUGUGUAUCAGGGCUUAUUAAAUUAAAUUAAAUUAUUUUAAUUUCUCGAAUUAAGAAGAGUUAUUAAUUUAUAAAUUUUAUUGUAAAAUAAAUAUUUUUAAUAAAUUAAUUGAAAUGAAAUGUUAUUCGUUUUUUAAUAUAUCUAGUUUUAAUUUAAAUAAAUUUAAUUUAUUAGUUAAUAAUUUUGUAAAUAUAUUUUUUAAAAAAUUGAUUAAUUAAAAAUAUUUUUUGGGAUAAUCUAAAAAAUAAAUUCUAUAUUUAAAAAUAAAAUAUUAAAUUAAAUGUAGAAUUAAUAAUAUUUAUCAUUAAUAUUUUGUUAUAAUUAAUAUUUUCAGUUUUAAAAAAUUUUAAAAUAAAGUAGUUUUUUAAAUUAAAAUUUUAUAAAAUAGUAGUUUAAAAUUUAUAAUGAUAAGAUUAGUAUAUAUAUAUAUAAUUUAUAAGAUUUAAUUAUUUUAAAAAUUAAUUAAAGGAAUUCGGCAAAAUUAAUUUUCGACUGUUUAUUAAAAACAUUUCUUUUUGAUAUUAAUUUAAAGUAUGUUCUGCCCAAUGAUUUAUUUAAUGGCUGCAGUAUUAUGACUGUACAAAGGUAGCAUAAUCAUUAGUUUUUUUAUUGAAAGCUGGAAUGAAUGAAUCUACGAAAAAUUAACUGUCUCUAUUUAAAAUAUAAAAUUUUAUAUUUAAGUAAAAAAGCUUAAAUUUAAUUAAAAGACGAGAAGACCCUAUAGAGUUUUAUAUUUUAAAAAUAAAAAUUAUUUUAAAAAUAUUUUAUUGGGGUGAUAGAAAAAAAUACUUAACUUUUUUUAUAUUUAAACAAUAAUAUUUGAACAAUUGAUCCAUUUUAUUGAUUAUAAGAUUAAAUUACCUUAGGGAUAACAGCGUAAUAUUUUUUUAAAGUUCAUAUUAAAAAAAAUGAUUGCGACCUCGAUGUUGGAUUAAAAUUAAUUACAUGUGCAGAAGCUUGUGAAUUAAGUCUGUUCGACUUUUAAAAUUUUACAUGAUCUGAGUUUAAACCGGUGUAAGCCAGGUUGGUUUCUAUCUUUAAUAAUUUAAAAUAUUUUAGUACGAAAGGACCUUAUAUU
RNAcentral lists this ribosomal RNA (1221 nucleotides) under Stenus comma. Its description in RNAcentral is "16S ribosomal RNA". The stretch from base 1011 to 1169 matches the Rfam family "Archaeal large subunit ribosomal RNA", at positions 2544 to 2703 of the family's 2987-position model. Lineage: Eukaryota; Metazoa; Arthropoda; Insecta; Coleoptera; Staphylinidae. The record is from RNAcentral.